This 72-nucleotide transfer RNA is filed under the name archaeon. Its description in RNAcentral is "tRNA-Tyr". It matches the Rfam family "tRNA". Rfam says of the family: Transfer RNA (tRNA) molecules are approximately 80 nucleotides in length. The record is from RNAcentral. RNAcentral also lists the same sequence under 2 other names.
CCCGCCUUUGCAUAGUAGUAGUGCGCUCGGCUGUAGACCGAGAGGUCCCCGGUGCAAAUCCGGGAGGCGGGA